RNAcentral lists this ribosomal RNA (421 nucleotides) under uncultured bacterium. Its description in RNAcentral is "partial 16S ribosomal RNA". It matches the Rfam family "Bacterial small subunit ribosomal RNA", at positions 360 to 773 of the family's 1533-position model. The record is from RNAcentral.
AAUAUUGGACAUUGGGGGCAACCCUGAUCUAGCCUUGCCGCGUGUUUGAAGAAGUUAUUCUGAUUUUAAAGCACUUUAAGUUGGGAGGAAGGGCUUUAGGCUAAUACCCUGAAGUUUUGACGUUACCAACUUAAUAAGCACCGGCUAACUCUGUGCCAGCAGCCGCGGUAAUACAGAGGGUGCAAGCGUUAAACGGAAUUACUGGGUGUAAAGCGCGCGUAGGUGGUUCAGUAAGAUGGGUGUGAAAUCCCCGGGCUUAACCUGGGAACUGCUUUCAUAACUGCUGAGCUAGAGUACGGUAGAGGGUAGUGGAAUUUCCUGUGGAGCGGUGAAAUGCGUAGAUAUAGGAAGGAACACCAGUGGCGAAGGCGACUACCUGGACUGAUACUGACACUGAGGUGCGAAAGCGUGGGGAGCAAAC